GGGGCUGAUUCUGGAUUCGACGGGAUUUGCGAAACCCAAGGUGCAUGCCGAGGGGCGGUUGGCCUCGUAAAAAGCCGCAAAAAAUAGUCGCAAACGACGAAAACUACGCUUUAGCAGCUUAAUAACCUGCUUAGAGCCCUCUCUCCCUAGCCUCCGCUCUUAGGACGGGGAUCAAGAGAGGUCAAACCCAAAAGCGAUCGCGUGGAAGCCCUGCCUGGGGUUGAAGCGUUAAAACUUAAUCAGGCUAGUUUGUUAGUGGCGUGUCCGUCCGCAGCUGGCAAGCGAAUGUAAAGACUGACUAAGCAUGUAGUACCGAGGAUGUAGGAAUUUCGGACGCGGGUUCAACUCCCGCCAGCUCCACCA
RNAcentral lists this transfer-messenger RNA (363 nucleotides) under Shigella sonnei. RNAcentral describes it as "transfer-messenger RNA%2C SsrA". It matches the Rfam family "transfer-messenger RNA". From Rfam's summary of the family: Bacterial tmRNA, also known as 10Sa RNA or SsrA, is named for its dual tRNA and mRNA-like properties. Its role is to liberate the mRNA from a stalled ribosome. Lineage: Bacteria; Pseudomonadati; Pseudomonadota; Gammaproteobacteria; Enterobacterales; Enterobacteriaceae. The record is from RNAcentral.